CGGGAUGAGCUCAAAUUUAAAAUCUGGCGUCUUUCAGGCGUCCGAGUUGUGAUCUAUAGAGGCGUUUUCCGCGCCGGACCGCGUCCAAGUCUCUUGGAAUAGAGUAUCAAAGAGGGUGACAAUCCCGUACUUGACGCGACAACCGGUGCUCUGUGAUACGUUCUCAAUGAGUCGAGUUGUUUGGGAAUGCAGCUCUAAAUGGGUGGUAAAUUCCAUCUAAGGCUAAAUAUUGGCGAGAGACCGAUAGCGAACAAGUACCGUGAGGGAAAGAUGAAAAGCACUUUGGAAAGAGAGUUAAACAGCACGUGAAAUUGUUAAAAGGGAAACGAUUGAAGUCAGUCGUGUGAAAGGUAUUCAGCCGUCUCUGGCGGUGUAUUUGCCUUUCACGGGUCAACAUCAGUUUGAUCCGGUAGAAAAAGGCGGGAGGAAGGUGGCACCCUCGGGUGUGUUAUAGCCUCCUGUCAUAUGUGCCGGACCAGACUGAGGA
RNAcentral lists this ribosomal RNA (487 nucleotides) under Vishniacozyma victoriae. RNAcentral describes it as "eukaryotic LSU rRNA". It matches the Rfam family "Eukaryotic large subunit ribosomal RNA", at positions 99 to 592 of the family's 3401-position model. The record is from RNAcentral. Lineage: Eukaryota; Fungi; Basidiomycota; Tremellomycetes; Tremellales; Bulleribasidiaceae.